CACUCCUGCGGGAGGCAGCAGUGGGGAAUUUUGGACAAUGGGCGAAAGCCUGAUCCAGCAAUGCCGCGUGAGUGAAGAAGGCCUUCGGGUUGUAAAGCUCUUUUGUCAGGGAAGAAACGGUGAAAGCUAAUAUCUUUUGCUAAUGACGGUACCUGAAGAAUAAGCACCGGCUAACUACGUGCCAGCAGCCGCGGUAAUACGUAGGGUGCAAGCGUUAAUCGGAAUUACUGGGCGUAAAGCGUGCGCAGGCGGUUUUGUAAGUCUGAUGUGAAAUCCCCGGGCUCAACCUGGGAAUUGCAUUGGAGACUGCAAGGCUAGAAUCUGGCAGAGGGGGGUAGAAUUCCACGUGUAGCAGUGAAAUGCGUAGAUAUGUGGAGGAACACCGAUGGCGAAGGCAGCCCCCUGGGUCAAGAUUGACGCUCAUGCACGAAAGCGUGGGGAGCAAACAGGAUUAGAUACCCGAGUAGUCCCA
This 472-nucleotide ribosomal RNA is filed under the name uncultured organism. RNAcentral's name for it is "partial 16S ribosomal RNA". It matches the Rfam family "Bacterial small subunit ribosomal RNA", at positions 334 to 797 of the family's 1533-position model. The record is from RNAcentral.